GAUGAAGAACGUAGUGAAAUGCGAUAAGUAAUGUGAAUUGCAGAAUUCAGUGAAUCAUCGAAUCUUUGAACGCACAUUGCGCCCCUUGGUAUUCCGGGGGGCAUGCCUGUUCGAGCGUCAUUUCAACCCUCAAGCUCAGCUUGGUAUUGAGUCCAUGUCAGUAAUGGCAGGCUCUAAAAUCAGUGGCGGCGCCGCUGGGUCCUGAACGUAGUAAUAUCUCUCGUUACAGGUUCUCGGUGUGCUUCUGCCAAAACCCAAAUUUUCUAUGGUUGACCUCGGAUCAGGUAGGGAUACCCGCUGAACUUAAGCAUAUCAAUAAGCGGAGA
RNAcentral lists this unclassified non-coding RNA (326 nucleotides) under soil metagenome. RNAcentral's name for it is "partial contains 5.8S ribosomal RNA, internal transcribed spacer 2, and large subunit ribosomal RNA". The stretch from base 1 to 120 matches the Rfam family "5.8S ribosomal RNA", at positions 35 to 154 of the family's 154-position model. The record is from RNAcentral.